This 875-nucleotide long non-coding RNA is filed under the name Salvia miltiorrhiza (redroot sage). RNAcentral describes it as "long non-coding RNA (SMIL_LNC006417)". Lineage: Eukaryota; Viridiplantae; Streptophyta; Magnoliopsida; Lamiales; Lamiaceae. The record is from RNAcentral.
GGAAAUGUCACUCAUAGAUAAAAUGCUAGGAUCAUAUAUGAUUAUUUGGAUACUUAUAAAACAUACACAUAAUUGAGAACUGAUUAAGGUGGUUACCCAAUAACACGUAUAACAACUUCAUAACAUAGAGCUAUCCUAAUCAAAGUGUUUUGCAGCGGAAAACGUGUGAGAUAUACAUAUGAAGAUGUAUACUCAAGGUUACAUUUCUUAAAAUGUCAAAGGAACACCCGCUCAACAUCAUUCCAUUCCAUCAGCUGCUCAACCUGCACAUUUAGAAAUACAUGCAGGGCUGAGUAUAAAAAUACUCAGUGGGCAUAGCCGAAAAUACAUUCAUGCAUAACAUAUAUAUAAAUUGAACUGCCAACAGUAACACACAGGGGUUUUCUUGAAAGUCCUGCGCUUACUAAAAUAUUUCUUUCAUUUUCAUAAAGUCGAUCGGCCGAUCAUUUUCCUUCAUAUGAUCCAUAUCUGUUCCAUUCUGUCACGCGCCGGGAAGGAGGCCUCCUUACCACGGACGCCAAGACCGGUCGCAAGCGACUCGCGGUCUCCAUGAGUGUACACGUUAACCCUAGCUAGCGACCUUUGUCUAGCAUAGGAUCCCAAUUGGAUUUCCUUUAAAGUUGGCGAACCAACACAGAUAGGAUACAUAUAAAAACAUAAACAUUUUGGCAGUCAAUCAUUUCAUAAACAUUUCAUUUUCAUAACAUUUUCAUUUUCAUAAAGGGCAUUAAACAUAUAAGCAUUUCAUAAGAACUGAAUAAAUAGUCAAAACAUAUCAUGCAUAUAUAUUCGCAUAUGAGGCCUACGUCACGCAGGGGAUCUCUAUAUACGUAAUAAUAAAAUAAUGCCCACCUGGAUAGGCAAAGCCUGAAGAU